UACGAAGGGUGCAAGCGUUGCUCGGAAUUAUUGGGCGUAAAGGGUAGGUAGGUGGUGAUGUAUGUCUGGAGUGAAAGCCCCGAGCUUAACUUGGGAAGUGCUUUGGAAACGGCAUCACUAGAGUACUGGAGAGGUUCGUAGAAUUCCCGGUGUAGCGGUGAAAUGCGUAGAGAUCGGGAGGAAUACCAGAGGCGAAGGCGACGAACUGGACAGUGACUGACACUCAACUACGAAAGCGUGGGUAGCAAACAGG
RNAcentral lists this ribosomal RNA (253 nucleotides) under uncultured bacterium. RNAcentral's name for it is "partial 16S ribosomal RNA". It matches the Rfam family "Bacterial small subunit ribosomal RNA", at positions 524 to 776 of the family's 1533-position model. The record is from RNAcentral.